RNAcentral lists this ribosomal RNA (493 nucleotides) under uncultured bacterium. RNAcentral's name for it is "partial 16S ribosomal RNA". It matches the Rfam family "Bacterial small subunit ribosomal RNA", at positions 30 to 523 of the family's 1533-position model. The record is from RNAcentral.
AUUGAACGCUGGCGGCAUGCUUUACACAUGCAAGUCGAACGGUAACAGGUUAAGCUGACGAGUGGCGAACGGGUGAGUAAUGCAUCGGAACGUGCCCGGUCGUGGGGGAUAACGCAGCGAAAGCUGCGCUAAUACCGCAUACGAUCUGAGGAUGAAAGCGGGGGACCGUAAGGCCUCGCGCGAUCGGAGCGGCCGAUGUCAGAUUAGGUAGUUGGUGGGGUAAAGGCUCACCAAGCCAACGAUCUGUAGCUGGUCUGAGAGGACGACCAGCCACACUGGGAAUGAGACACGGCCCAGACUCCUACGUGAGGCAGCAGUGGGGAAUUUUGGACAAUGGGCGAAAGCCUGAUCCAGCGAUGCCGCGUGCAGGAAGAAGGCCUUCGGGUUGUAAACUGCUUUUGUACGGAGCGAAAAGGUCUCCUCUAAUACAGGGGGCUCAUGACGGUACCGUAAGAAUAAGCACCGGCUAACUACGUGCCAGCCGCCGCGGUAA